RNAcentral lists this unclassified non-coding RNA (832 nucleotides) under Hevea brasiliensis (rubber tree). Lineage: Eukaryota; Viridiplantae; Streptophyta; Magnoliopsida; Malpighiales; Euphorbiaceae. The record is from RNAcentral.
UAUCAAACUGUUGCAACAAUUGACAAUGGUUAAAGAUUAAUGAUUACAACAAACUAUUCAAUCAAUCUAAAUCACAGGUUUCUGCUUAGUAAGAUCAAGAGACUCACUCAAUUCAAUAGUCACCCUCCUAGUGCCAUCAUCACCUAGAUGAUGAUUGCUUGCAGAUUUCAGAAUCGAAGUAGAACCAUCUCCCAAAUCUAUAUCAUUUGUGUUGGGAUCUUUCUAAUACUACUUUCUGACACCAUUGGUUAAAAUUGGAGGAUGAAAAUGGACUUAUAUGAAAGAAAUUUUUUAUUAGCAGAGACUAAACGGUAAGUUUACAACUCAAAAGAAACUCCCGGCACACGUUUAUUUUUUCUCUCUCUCAUGCCAACACUAGCACACACAAGACUUUCCCUCACUCACCUCACUUGUUCACACAGCACACACACUUGAUUGCAAGCUCUCACAUUUACUUUUUCUUACACACUCUUGCAUUCAACGCCUGCGCGCACAAACACAUAUUUAUAAUAGUUCAAUGGCGGUGACUAAAGCAAUACGGCCCACAUGUUAAAAAGGUGAUGAAGAUUAUUGACGCUUCUUUAAUGGCGUGUCCUCUCCAAGGUUGAUGGUACCAGAAUUUAAUGGAUUCUAGAGUAGAUAAAGAAGUCUAGAAAAAGCAAUUCUAGAAUAUGAAAGGCGGUGUUGAAUUCUUCAACAAUUUGUUGCCUCAUCUUUGUUCCUCAGAGAAUACUUGAAAUAUCCCUCAUCAAUUCACUCCAUGCGACCCUCGUAUCCACGACUACUUGUUUCCAUUUCCUUUUGUCCAUGAUGAUCCACGCCCAUUGACACG